CGGCUGUCGUCAGCUCGUGUCGUGAGAUGUUGGGUUAAGUCCCGCAACGAGCGCAACCCUUGUCAUUAGUUGCUACGAAAGGGCACUCUAAUGAGACUGCCGGUGACAAACCGGAGGAAGGUGGGGAUGACGUCAGGUCCUCAUGGCCCUUAUGGGUAGGGCUACACACGUCAUACAAUGGCCGGGACAGAGGGCUGCCAACCCGCGAGGGGGAGCUAAUCCCAGAAACCCGGUCGUAGUCCGGAUCGCAGUCUGCAACUCGACUGCGUGAAGUCGGAAUCGCUAGUAAUCGCGGAUCAGCUUGCCGCGGUGAAUACGUUCCCGGGUCUUGUACACACCGCCCGUCACACCAUGGGAGCGGGUUCUGCCAGAAGUAGGUAGCCUAACCGUAAGGAGGGCGCUUACCACGGCAGGGUUCGUGACUGGGGUGAAGUCGUAACAAGGUAGCCGUAUCGGAAGGUGCGGCUGGAUCACCUCCUUUCUAGAAAAUGCAUGAUGCAAGCAUCAGGCACCCACACUUA
Molecule: ribosomal RNA, 521 nt
Filed under: uncultured bacterium
Lineage: Bacteria
Description: bacterial SSU rRNA
Rfam family: Bacterial small subunit ribosomal RNA
Source: RNAcentral